Stomoxys calcitrans (stable fly) is the source of this 734-nucleotide long non-coding RNA. RefSeq lists it as uncharacterized. NCBI's taxonomy places the organism in Eukaryota, Metazoa, Arthropoda, Insecta, Diptera, Muscidae. The transcript is spliced from 3 exons. The record is from RefSeq and is a predicted model, not a curated record.
UUUUACAACGCGAACCUUAACGGACCGGUGUGAAUAUUUUCUGUUCGGGAACGCGCUUAAUGCAAACAAUCGUUUUGUCUUUCGGAAAAUAUCUAAAUAAUUUUGUGCAAAUUAAAUGAAAAUUGUUUUGUAUUUCUACACUAGAAACAACUCUUCUUAAAACAAAGUGCGUGUGUGUGUGCAAUUGCAAGAAGAAAACUUGGAGUGUGUAACUAUAACUUCUUGAAGAAAAAAAAAAUCGUUAGAUUGUGAAAUCUGUGUAGGAAAACUAACACAGCUAAUGGUUUGGUACAUUUGAUCAAGGCAAAGCUCUUAUUAAGGAGAUUUAAAUUAUAACAAGAAAUCUUAAAGAAGUGUUAAUUUUUGCUUUUGUAAAAAUAAAUAAACGAGGAAAUACUAAGGAAAAUAAAAAUAUCAUACAAAAAAAUCUUUUUCAAAAAGUGAUUUCUCCAAAAAAUUAAAAAGCCUUCUAAAAAAAAAAUUCCACAGAAAGUGUGCUCAUAUCUGUGCCUUUUGAAGCAUAAAAUUUUAAAGCAAAAAAAAAAAGAAUCAAAUUCUAGGUGUUUACUUUUCACCCACAACGCGCCUUUCGUCGUCUGCCUGACUUGCCUUUUGCCAGCCGCCUUGUGUCAACAUUGAAGAAGAAUGAUAUCAUAACCAAUUUUCAUAGUGAAAUCAAAUAUAACAGAAAAAGUGCAAUUUAAAUAAAUGGAAAAGUUCAAUAAAAGCAUUUG